UACAGAGGGGGCAAGCGUUGUUCGGAAUUACUGGGCGUAAAGGGCGCGUAGGCGGCCUGUUAAGUCGGACGUGAAAUCCCUCGGCUCAACCCUGGAAGGCCGGUGGAAACUGUCGGGCUAGAGUCCGGAAGAGGCGAGUGGAAUUCCCGGUGUAGCGGUGAAAUGCGCAGAUAUCGGGAGGAACACCAAUGGCGAAGGCAGCUCGCUGGGACGGUACUGACGCUGAGACGCGAAAGCGUGGGGAGCAAACAGG
Molecule: ribosomal RNA, 253 nt
Filed under: uncultured bacterium
Lineage: Bacteria
Description: partial 16S ribosomal RNA
Rfam family: Bacterial small subunit ribosomal RNA
Source: RNAcentral